RNAcentral lists this long non-coding RNA (495 nucleotides) under Androctonus crassicauda. Lineage: Eukaryota; Metazoa; Arthropoda; Arachnida; Scorpiones; Buthidae. The record is from RNAcentral.
AUAUAGUUAAUGAAACUUUACUGAAAUAUGCAGCACCCAAUAUCGACGUACGUUACAGCAAAUCUGGAAAAUUAUCUAAAUAUCUGAUUGAAUAUUUUUACAAAACGACCUUUGCUCCUCUUGUCACAGAAGAUUUUGUCCUUGUUAUCGAUGCUUGGACUGGACAUACUAAUUCUGAAAUUCAUGCGAGUAUAAAUUCAGACAUAUAUAUUUUGACAUAUAUCAGACGUAUAUAUUAUGCAAGUAUCUUUUGGCCAUCAAAAUAACCAACCGGAAUGCCAAAUUGUAAUAAUUCCUGAAAAGUGUACAGCACAAUGUCAGCCGUUAGACACAACUAUACAUAGACAAAUAAAAUACUUACAAAAGAGAAUUGUAACUGCUUUAGAAUUAUUAUAUGAUCAUUCUACAUUGUCUAUUGAGGAAAACUGGACAAGCGGAGCGGGUAUCAUAUGUCUACAAUCAUUAAUACAUCACAAAAUUUCAUCCAAUAUAUUC